UUGGGCCGGGCCUUUACGCAAGAGCGUCGUUGCCCUGGUGACGUGACGUCCUUCCUCAGGAUUGUGCGCUGGGGUGGGGAAACAGACGUGCAACCGCCAUUUUGCGCAUUAAUUCACCAGAGGUCUGUUCAGGCUGUCUUAACGCAGGCAGAGGGGUGUUGCAGAUCUCCAACCGCUUGGGGUCCCGCGAUUUCCGUUAAUGAAUUCGCACACUGGCGUUACCACUCAACACACCGACGACUGCAUUGUACCAUCACUAGAAUCUAGUGCUUAAUGGCAACUCGCCCUUUCCAAAGGGUCUCAACAAGUUCAGCGAGGUGAAAUUCAGCUUUUGCCCUAUCAUCUGAAUUCACAGGACUUCCAUCUAACAUCUAAGCAAGACGAUAGACAACAAUUUGCUAAAUCUACAUUAUUGGACAUGAUGGUUAAGUAAAAAACAUCACACCAGAAUCAAGGAUUUUGUUAUCUGCGUGAGUCCUGUAACCAAUCCCCCAGAGAUACUGAUGGAUAGGAAGAAACAGAUUAACAGAGAGGUGGAGUCACAUAGCUGGUGAGGAGUGAAAUCGGGAUCCAAAUGCAGGAAUAUUGUCAUUUUAUGUGUGUCAUGAUGUGAAAAAGGUUGGGAAGCGCUGCUCUACACCAGUGUGCUACAGCUGCCUUGUCAAGAUGGUGGAGGUCCGAGAAAGAUUGGUUGGAUACUUGGGGCAUCAGAAGUGACCAAUGAUAAAGCAAGAUCAGCAGCAAGAUGGGGAUAGUGAAGUAGAGAAUAAAGAAAUGGUAGCAGUAAAAGGAAAGCAAUAGCUAGAAAGUACAAUGGAGUUAAGUGACUGAAUUGCUACAAGGUAAAGACUCUGGAGAGUUUACAACAGAUUAAAGAUUUAUAACCAAUUUAAAAAGCAGAUUUCAAAACCAUCAACAAAAGGAACACAACAUAAAAAUAAGAUGCCUAGAAGGAUUAAGUAGGGUCAGGCAGUAGUAAUCCAAAGAGGAAAGAUGCUAUACUUUCCAUGAUAACACUAAGCUUUUUGU
Gorilla gorilla gorilla (western lowland gorilla) is the source of this 1029-nucleotide long non-coding RNA. RefSeq lists it as uncharacterized. NCBI's taxonomy places the organism in Eukaryota, Metazoa, Chordata, Mammalia, Primates, Hominidae. The record is from RefSeq and is a predicted model, not a curated record. The transcript has 6 exons.